Long non-coding RNA from Cyprinus carpio carpio, 942 nucleotides. Lineage: Eukaryota; Metazoa; Chordata; Actinopteri; Cypriniformes; Cyprinidae. The record is from Ensembl.
CCGACCUUCUCUGCUCAACAGUGCACUUUUCUAUUUGGUGCUGCAGACAAAUAGGUUAUGGGAAACUUCUCAACCCCUCCUCUCUCUCUCCCCCUCUCACUGGCUCUCGCUUAUACGGUAGCUGUCGUUCUCGUGCGCUUGGACUGUGCUCUUGUGAGAAUCAGAGCCGCUGAGGCACGCGUAAUCAACUGCGUAUUAGCGGCAAUUUUAAACCGAAAGCAGCCUGUGCACGCCGGCUUCAUACCUACAGCAGGAGAUGCAUCUGGUCACGUCGACUUCGGCAUAAUUAUAAAAAACCUUUGCUCAAGGCUGAAAAAAAUGUCACCAUUACUUACCCACUGGAAGAGAGCAGGAGAAAACUGGCAUCAGUGUUAUCAAAUGAUAAACCAACAUGAGGGAUGGAGGCUUGUUGUUUAAUUGAAAGAGGGCAGGGACAAGGCAACACAAAUCCAAAAGGCUUCCAAUGCACAAGGACUCAAACAGCAACCAUGGGAAUGAAGGCUACUGGGGUUCAAGUGAUGCUUCCGAUGAGGUGCGUUGCUCUUUGAUGUGAAAAAGGAAGGUUGCGAGAGCUCUCUCCAGCACAUGCCACCCUCAUUAGUGUCCAGCAGCUGAAGACGCGAGGUCACAAACCCAAUGAGUUGCACAUUUCAUUCAGCUUUGCCGACAUGGAAAGAUGACCACUGUGACCUAAUGUUCGGUGCGGUCUGACAGCACAUUGUGUGCAUCAUACGAAGUGGCUUGAAUAACCCUUGAACCUUGUGUGGAGUGCAUUAUUUUUUAUGAAAUUGCCAACUUUUCAACAUUCUUGUAGAUUUUAUUCAUUCAAUAAAUUGUGCAUUUUUCUAAAAAAGGGAACAGGUCUUGUGAUUUAUUUGCUGAACUGUGGGUGAUGAAAUAUUUAAUAUCCUGGGUAUUAAAAUGAUCAGUCUCGGAUCCAUU